Molecule: ribosomal RNA, 468 nt
Filed under: uncultured bacterium
Lineage: Bacteria
Description: partial 16S ribosomal RNA
Rfam family: Bacterial small subunit ribosomal RNA
Source: RNAcentral
GACGAACGCUGGCGGCGUGCUUAACACAUGCAAGUCGAACGGAAAGGCCCUGCUUUUGUGGGGUUCUCGAGUGGCGAACGGGUGAGUAACACGUGAGUAACCUGCCCUUGACUUUGGGAUAACUUCAGGAAACUGGGGCUAAUACCGGAUAGGAGCUCCUGCUGCAUGGUGGGGGUUGGAAAGUUUCGGCGGUUGGGGAUGGACUCGCGGCUUAUCAGCUUGUUGGUGGGGUAGUGGCUUACCAAGGCUUUGACGGGUAGCCGGCCUGAGAGGGUGACCGGCCACAUUGGGACUGCGAUACGGCCCAGACUCCUACGGGAGGCAGCAGUGGGGAAUAUUGCACAAUGGGCGGAAGCCUGAUGCAGCAACGCCGCGUGCGGGAUGACGGCCUUCGGGUUGUAAACCGCUUUCGCCUGUGACGAAGCGUGAGUGACGGUAAUGGGUAAAGAAGCACCGGCUAACUACGUG